This is a long non-coding RNA of Mercenaria mercenaria, 693 nucleotides long. RefSeq lists it as uncharacterized. The record is from RefSeq and is a predicted model, not a curated record. NCBI's taxonomy places the organism in Eukaryota, Metazoa, Mollusca, Bivalvia, Venerida, Veneridae. The transcript is spliced from 5 exons.
ACAUAAGGGCAUGUAAAGGGACGAAACUCUUGAUCUCCUUGAAGAGCUUGGCGUAAAGGUAAAUAAAAACAUGUUGUGACGUAAUGCGGAAGUGAUAUCGGUUGCUUGAAAAAUGGAUUUUUGUCAAAUUACAGUGAACAAGUUAUUGUGAGAUAGUCUGAUUACUUUGGAGCUGCCAGAUUGUGUAUGAAAUCCUAAACAAAGUAUUUCAACAACUUUUUCAUGAACCACAGAAACUUCACCUUACCAAAUUGUAGGACCAGACAUUGUGAGAAAGUUUGAUUGCAUUCACUGCCAGAGCUAAAGCUAGAAAAGAAACUAAACAACUUCUUCUCAUGAUCUGCUUAAUUGAUCUUCACAUUGAAUUGUCAACCUGUAUGCUACAUUGUAUAAUGACGUUGAGCAAAUAAAGAUACUGCAGUCAGCGUUACAACCUUCAUUAAACAGAAUGAAUUGGUGUUACAGAAAUGGAUAACAUAUGGAGACAAACACUUUCAGGCUACAGAAACUACACUAUGAGACUAUGAGAAUGGCUUAUUUCCAUGAUGGAACUCAUACCACAAAGAAAGAACUCGCUUUAUCUUGUUUCUUAUAACUAGUCCUCAAAGACAUACCCAAGUAAACUACAACAGGAAUGAAAGCAAACAAAGUUGAUUCAGGAUUUAGAAUUGAAUGUUUUUGUGUCAACAGUGU